AAGUCGUAACAAGGUUUCCGUAGGUGAACCUGCGGAAGGAUCAUUAUCGUAGGGCUCACGCCCUGUCGAGAUAGCGUCCUUGCCUUUUUUAAGCACCGUAUGUUUCCUCAGCAGGCUUGCCUGCUACUGGGGACCCCAAAACUCUUUGUAAAUACAGCAAUCGUCUGAACAACAAACAAAAAUCAAAACUUUCAACAAUGGAUCUCUUGGUUCUG
RNAcentral lists this unclassified non-coding RNA (215 nucleotides) under Angustimassarina acerina. RNAcentral's name for it is "partial internal transcribed spacer region". The stretch from base 1 to 46 matches the Rfam family "Eukaryotic small subunit ribosomal RNA", at positions 1786 to 1831 of the family's 1831-position model. Lineage: Eukaryota; Fungi; Ascomycota; Dothideomycetes; Pleosporales; Amorosiaceae. The record is from RNAcentral.